UGUAACUUGUAGUAGAAAGAAUAGAGGCACCUGCAGCCACGACUGCCAGACCCCUUAAUGGGUAAUAUUCCCCCCUUCAACAGGAUGCAGUCAGAGGGCCCAUAAAAAUGAUGUCCAGACGGAAAUGUGGUCAUUGAGCCAUUUAGUGAAACAAGGCUGGAGUGCAUUUAGCGGGGAGAGCAUGCGUUUGUAAAGACCCCUGCAGCUGGUGGGGGUAACCUGACCUGCUGCCUGACAGGCACAGGGAUGCCCUCUAGUCUGAGCAAGCACGUAAACAAGUCAAUAGAGGACAAGCUGUCACCAUAGAUAUUUUACUCUGUUUUUGGCCUGUACAAUUCUUUAACAAUAAUAUCACAAAGAACAUUCAGAGGAUCUUAUGAUGAUCAGGUUUAUGGUUAUCCCACUGAUAAUUUAUUAAUGAACAUUUGAGAGCUUAGGCACUUAUGUAUAAAUAAAAUAAAUAAAAACCCUCUGUACUUUGUUUGUUGCCCAUCUGAGCGCGUGUCUUCCUGCUGGCCCAUCCUGAUCAUGAGACCUCUCCAGGCAAGAUCCUGUGACUAACUCCUGCCUGGCCCGGGAGUCUAACACCUCAGCUGCGAUGGCUAGCUUCACUCAGAUCAGCUUACGUGGCUGUGGAACCUCUCACUGCCAAGUAUGUGAUGUCUGACAGGCCUCUCAACCUGGUCUGACCUCAGCGUGGACUAAAUAAAGUAUUGUACAAACAGAGCCUGAUGGACCAAAACGACGGGUCGGGAGUAACGGCUGUCUCAGUCUGCACCGCCGUCAGGAUGAGGAAGUCCUGCAGGCUGCCAACCGCCGCGCUACUUUCCUGUACGUGUGAAGAUGAGACAGCAAGAGCGCAAGAAUAAACGAGGAGAGGAAACGAAAGAAAAAGUCAUGUGGCACAGGACUAUAGGGCCACGCAACACAAGAUAAAAGAUGUAAAUUCAUUCAAUGUAUCCAUGUCAGACUAAUAAACCACACACAGGGUCACAGCCUGGUACUGAAUACCACAACUGAAAACAAUAGCCCUUUAAAUAGGUACUCAAAACUGUCUGUGUACAAGACCUGACCUGGAGAAUUCUGAAUAAUUCUACAUUCAUGAACCCAUAGUAGAGUUACCAUCUGUAGGCUGACUGAGCAGCAGCCAACACUGACACAGUCAGUCCUUGUCCCAGACACCCUUUUGAAAGGCGAGGGUGGAUCAUUUGUGGAGCGAUCUGCAUUUUAUGUUCUACCAUUCUGGUCUAAUUUGGAUCCCACAACGUGCGGCAUGCCAAGGUCGUAGAACAUGUGGGUAGAGAGAGUAUAGCUCUCUGGGCCAUGAUGAAACAAGCUUCAGUUUGUGGCAAGUUAUAAACUAAGGAACUUGGUCUGACCACACCCCAGCACCGCCACAAAAAGCUGCACAGUAUGGAUUUGACCUCAGCAGUACUGCAUUACAUAAAUACUGUUCUAUGCAAAACACAAACCUUCAGCGGAAGACUGUAGGCAGUAUUUUGCUUUCUUGGCCAGAUGGACUCACCAGUGGAGCUUUUCAUUUUUGAGUAAGUUGACGUAUUAUAAGAACAAGAAGAAGAAUAACACCAGCCAAUGUGCCCCAAAAUAGAACCUGUACUUGGAGAAAAAGCAAAGAAACCACUUCAAGCAUUUUAUGUCCUCCUCCCUUAUUCACAAGCUCAACAAAAAGAAAUGGAUGAUUACCAGGAUACAUAAAUAAAUUUAUAUCUGCACAACAAGACCCCAUCCUGCCCAGACCGUCUGCACUAAGUGUGAACACUUCGAGGUAGGAAAAAGGAAACAGCAGUCCAAACAUUAAUAAAUAAUGAUGGAACAUAA
Betta splendens (Siamese fighting fish) is the source of this 1839-nucleotide long non-coding RNA. RefSeq lists it as uncharacterized. The record is from RefSeq and is a predicted model, not a curated record. The transcript is spliced from 3 exons. NCBI's taxonomy places the organism in Eukaryota, Metazoa, Chordata, Actinopteri, Anabantiformes, Osphronemidae.